This is a non-coding RNA of Paramuricea clavata, 373 nucleotides long. Lineage: Eukaryota; Metazoa; Cnidaria; Anthozoa; Malacalcyonacea; Plexauridae. The record is from the annotation of a GenBank genome assembly.
CUUAAAAACACAACUAGAGUGAAUUUGUACCAGUGGAGGACUACCGCAAUCAGCGAACAUUUCAUCAAUUUUUAUCCCGUUAACUACUGCUGGACAAAGGACUAUUCUUCGAACUAUCUGUAUUGAAAACUAUAAACAUGAACCUCACGUCCGAGCUCACGUCCUCACGACAUUCAAGUUCAUCACACGGUAAUUCUUCCGGAAUCAAGAUUAAAGGCUGUUUUGACACACAGUGAACACACAGAAGCUCGUGUCCACCCAAAAAACGAAGCUUUCUUUCCAUGCAUAGUGCAAAAAUCCACCAUUUUACAAUUUUUUUUCGAUAAAUCUUUUCCGAAUCUUAUAAAACCUCGAGGUGUAAACACAGCGAAAG